RNAcentral lists this ribosomal RNA (494 nucleotides) under uncultured bacterium. RNAcentral's name for it is "partial 16S ribosomal RNA". It matches the Rfam family "Bacterial small subunit ribosomal RNA", at positions 28 to 506 of the family's 1533-position model. The record is from RNAcentral.
GACGAACGCUGGCGGCGUGCCUAAUACAUGCAAGUAGAACGCUGAAGGAGGAGCUUGCUUCUCUGGAUGAGUUGCGAACGGGUGAGUAACGCGUAGGUAACCUGCCUGGUAGCGGGGGAUAACUAUUGGAAACGAUAGCUAAUACCGCAUAAGAGUAGAUGUUGCAUGACAUUUGCUUAAAAGGUGCAAUUGCAUCACUACCAGAUGGACCUGCGUUGUAUUAGCUAGUUGGUGGGGUAACGGCUCACCAAGGCGACGAUACAUAGCCGACCUGAGAGGGUGAUCGGCCACACUGGGACUGAGACACGGUCCAGACUCCUACGGGAGGCAGCAGUAGGGAAUCUUCGGCAAUGGACGGAAGUCUGACCGAGCAACGCCGCGUGAGUGAAGAAGGUUUUCGGAUCGUAAAGCUCUGUUGUAAGAGAAGAACGAGUGUGAGAGUGGAAAGUUCACACUGUGCCGGUAUCUUACCAGAAAGGGACGGCUAACUACGU